RNAcentral lists this ribosomal RNA (253 nucleotides) under uncultured bacterium. RNAcentral's name for it is "partial 16S ribosomal RNA". It matches the Rfam family "Bacterial small subunit ribosomal RNA", at positions 524 to 776 of the family's 1533-position model. The record is from RNAcentral.
GACAGAGGGUGCAAACGUUGUUCGGAAUUACUGGGCGUAAAGCGUGCGCAGGCGGUUGUGCAAGACAGAUGUGAAAUCCCCGGGCUUAACCUGGGAACUGCAUUUGUGACUGCACGGCUAGAGUGUGUCAGAGGGGGGUAGAAUUCCACGUGUAGCAGUGAAAUGCGUAGAGAUGUGGAGGAAUACCGAUGGCGAAGGCAGCCCCCUGGGAUAACACUGACGCUCAUGCACGAAAGCGUGGGGAGCAAACAGG